UGAUGAUGAUACAUGUUGGUUUUCUUAGUUUGGUUUGCUUUUUAUGUCCUUCUGCGACUUUGUUUUUAGACGAGCAUCUUUUUUCCUUUUUAAGAUUAUUGGGCUUUCCUUAAAAAGGUUUUAACGAGGCUCAAUCCUUAGUAUGCUUCUCUAUGUUUUUAAGGGUUUUUUUACACUUUCUUUUUCUUUUUUCUCUUUUUUAAUACAACCUUAUUUAAUAAAUUUGUGAUGACGACUAAUAUUAUUAUUACAUAUUUAAGUUAAGAGGAUAAAAUCAUUGGGUUCGAAAAUCGGCGGUUAACCACC
This 306-nucleotide long non-coding RNA is filed under the name Salvia miltiorrhiza (redroot sage). Its description in RNAcentral is "long non-coding RNA (SMIL_LNC009464)". The record is from RNAcentral. Lineage: Eukaryota; Viridiplantae; Streptophyta; Magnoliopsida; Lamiales; Lamiaceae.